GAUGAACGCUGGCGGCGUGCCUAAUACAUGCAAGUCGAGCGAACGGACGAGAAGCUUGCUUCUCUGAUGUUAGCGGCGGACGGGUGAGUAACACGUGGAUAACCUACCUAUAAGACUGGGAUAACUUCGGGAAACCGGAGCUAAUACCGGAUAAUAUUUUGAACCGCAUGGUUCAAAAGUGAAAGACGGUCUUGCUGUCACUUAUAGAUGGAUCCGCGCUGCAUUAGCUAGUUGGUAAGGUAACGGCUUACCAAGGCAACGAUGCAUAGCCGACCUGAGAGGGUGAUCGGCCACACUGGAACUGAGACACGGUCCAGACGCCUACGGGAGGCAGCAGUAGGGAAUCUUCCGCAAUGGGCGAAAGCCUGACGGAGCAACGCCGCGUGAGUGAUGAAGGUCUUCGGAUCGUAAAACUCUGUUAUUAGGGAAGAACAUAUGUGUAAGUAACUGUGCACAUCUUGACGGUACCUAAUCAGAAAGCCACGGCUAACUACGUG
Molecule: ribosomal RNA, 497 nt
Filed under: uncultured bacterium
Lineage: Bacteria
Description: partial 16S ribosomal RNA
Rfam family: Bacterial small subunit ribosomal RNA
Source: RNAcentral